This 373-nucleotide ribosomal RNA is filed under the name uncultured prokaryote. RNAcentral's name for it is "bacterial SSU rRNA". It matches the Rfam family "Bacterial small subunit ribosomal RNA", at positions 524 to 896 of the family's 1533-position model. The record is from RNAcentral.
UACGUAGGGUGCGAGCGUUAAUCGGAAUUACUGGGCGUAAAGCGUGCGCAGGCGGUUUUAUAAGCCAGAUGUGAAAGCCCCGGGCUCAACCUGGGAAUGGCAUUUGGGACUGUAAGGCUGGAGUAUGGCAGAGGAGACUAGAAUUCCUGGUGUAGCAGUGAAAUGCGUAGAUAUCAGGAGGAAUACCGAUGGCGAAGGCAGGUCUCUGGGCCAAUACUGACGCUCAUGCACGAAAGCGUGGGGAGCAAACAGGAUUAGAUACCCUGGUAGUCCACGCCCUAAACGAUGUCAACUGGUUGUUGGGGGAUUUAUUCUCUUAGUAACGAAGCUAACGCGUGAAGUUGACCGCCUGGGGAGUACGGUCGCAAGAUUA